GUGGCUUCCAGACCUUUUGAUGGAGAUCAAAUGUAGUGUCCCUUCUUAUCAGUUUAAUAUCUGGUAUGUACUCUGUGCAAGGACAAUAUAUUAAGUGGAUUUUUGGAGCUGUUGUCAUAGGAUAAGAGCUUGCUGCAUCCACUCCGUACAUUGACCUGCUAUUACAGAUCCUCCAGGAACCCCCAU
Fukomys damarensis (Damara mole-rat) is the source of this 186-nucleotide non-coding RNA. NCBI's taxonomy places the organism in Eukaryota, Metazoa, Chordata, Mammalia, Rodentia, Bathyergidae. The record is from Rfam.